RNAcentral lists this long non-coding RNA (3683 nucleotides) under Volvox carteri. Its description in RNAcentral is "long non-coding RNA (VCAR_LNC000933)". The record is from RNAcentral. Lineage: Eukaryota; Viridiplantae; Chlorophyta; Chlorophyceae; Chlamydomonadales; Volvocaceae.
GCACACACGCACACACGCACACACAUACACGCUCCCCCCCCCAGCUGGACCGGCAAGUGGAGCGGCUUCUAGGGUUCCUGCGCUCGCACUCGGGCCCGGCGUACGGCCAUCAGGGGCUCCGUAUCCGUGCCGCACUAGACGGAUUGGGAGAGCGACCUCCCCUGGAGCAGCCGGAGCGAUACAGCUUCUGGGUGGUGGGUUUUUUGCCUUCGCCGGGGACUGGGGGAUGCUUGGGGGGUUUGGGGGAUUUUGCUGCUUUUGUGGGGGAGAGAGCUCUCGGAGUUUAAACACCUUGACACAUACCCGGGGGGGUUGUGUGUGUUUAGAAGGCCAAGGCAAGGCAGCGCUGAACGCAUGUUACUUAGUGAGUUGUCAGAGGGCAAGAGCAGUCUCUCUCCACUGGAAGGUGAUGCCUCACUGGAUAACGCUGCUUUGUUUUCAUGACGAUCGGCGGCUGUUGUGUGUUGUGUUUCGUCUUACGACACUGCCUCCCCCCCCCUCCGGUGUCUUCCCCUCAGGUCAACGUGGCGGGUUUGGUGGUUCCGGAGCUGCGCAAGGCAGAGAUGCUGCGCGGUACGGAUACGGCCGUACGGCUACGGCAGUUGAAUCAGCAAUUGGGGGGUUGGAUGGGGAGUUUCCUGGCAGGUGGCGCGCCGGGUUGCCUGGUUAUGUGAGGGCAGUGCGUGUGUGUGUGUGUGUGUUUUGGGGGAAGGGGAAUUAUUAACAUUUUGAACUGUUCGGUCGUACAUGUAUGGGUUCGUACAUGCAUGAGGGUUUUGUUUAAGGUGAAGUUGGGAGGAUUUCGUUGAGAGGAAACCGAACUGGGGGGUCCCCCGGGGGGGUUUUGUGUAGGGUGGUGGCGCGGUUGGGCAUUAGGUGGUGAUAGGCAUCAAGGGCUUUACCCCUGUCCACUACAUAAUGCGACAAGAAGCAACACGGCCGCGCUUGAGGCGCGAAGAAUGAAUUUUCAUCGGCGUUGUUUUGGCGGAAUUCAAUACAUCCCAGAAACGUGUAUUUUACAUGUAUGCUGGCUAAAAGCGCUGAGAGCGGGGCGCUGUGCCUUGUGAAUAAUAAUCAUUGGAGAAUCGUGUGCGACCGUACGGGUGUUCGUACACUUGUACGGCGUACCCGGCGCGUAUGUUGUGUACUGCCUUGAUGAGAAAGGAGGUUUGAAUGUGCGUGGGAAGGUGAACGUUUUGCUGGCUGCCGCAUACUCCCUUUUUCAACAAUAAUAAGAAGCAAGAGACGAUGUCCCUGGUUUCAAGUUGCAUACGGCAGGUUUCGGGCCUUAACUAACUUUGCAACCGUCAUUAUAACAACCACAUCCAUCCUGCCAUUCAUUUGUAUAAUAAUAGUAUUUUACACUAAUCUCAACAAAAGGCCUUUCGUCGCGAACCAUAAAAAUAGCUUGUGAGCACCUGCACUUGCACUGAAACCACCGAGCACCAUAUUUUUUGUUCGCAUACACGUCCCUUAGGUAACAAUCCAAAGCCGACGAAGGGAAUCAACAAAGUUGAGGACUUUAUAAACACUUAAGACAAACUCAAAAGGUUGCUGGUUGGGGAUUGGUGUUGGACCAGUGACCGUGUCGAGGCGUGGGAGGGGACUGCGGGCGUAGACAAGCACAUUUCCUUAAAGUCAUGGCCGCAAGCCAUUUUACAAUUUUCGACACCUUACCGCAAACUGGUGUCAGUCUUUAACAGCAGUUUUAACAACAACACGCAAAAUAACCAUAAAAUAUAUAGUGUUUCCUGAUUUCCGAUGUUUCGUGUUGUUAUUGCUCGGUCCUGCCGUAUUUCGCGUAACAGUAGCUAAGCCGGCAGCCGCCAGCCGGCAGCUUGUUAGCAAAACACACAACCCGGUUGCAAAACCCCCUCCCAACACCAACCCAUUGUGAAAGUUGCACCAGUGGCAGAUAGUAAUGACAGUUACCUGUGUUGCACCGAUAAAUAGUACCCCCCCCCGACCUAAAGGGCCCCGACGUGCUGAAGAGCCACCCCGGGCGACCCACCCCGGGCCAGCAGCGACAAAACCAGGGACCGCUGCGUUGUCGCAAUUCCAGGGGAUUGGCCGGGGUGGGGAGGAGGGGGGCACGGCGAAGCACAGGCGGUUGACGAAAAAGGAAAAACACAGACGGAUACUCCGAGAUUAGACCAAAAAAGUAGGACAAUGUGUAAUAUGAUGCUGACCUGCGGGGGGUUGCGUGGGGGAAAAACCAGAGGCCACUGUCCCAGCAGCGGGACCUAAACACACCUCUUGGUAGGUAAUAGUCAAAACAACGCCAGUUUGUUGAGAACCCGGGAGCCUUUGCGACCCAAGUAGAAGCUCUUGGAGUCCCCUGCCGUACAUAUGUCCGUCACAUGCGUGCAUGCAUGCGCCCUGCUUCCACGCACCACGGCAGUUCCCCUUCGUAAUAACUUACUACUCGCACAUCUCUACACACAUACUUCGCUUGGCGAUGUCGAAGCAUGUUGAACCGGCAGAAAUAGCUGUACGACGGUCGAAGCCAAGAAAUGUUCGCCCCCAGCCUGGAUGAUGAUGAUAAGAGAGAGUCGCAAUGGAGAACUCGGCCCUCCUGGGUCGCGAAAGACCGGGAUUUGUUUCCUUGCUUGUUGUCGCUUUAAAGAUACUCCGUUCCGUCCGCUAAUAAAUAAAUUAGGGUUUUGCUACCCGUACGGAAGUCUGUGCCGUAUUUUGUGGAGGCAGCAGUGCAGUACGCACAGCAAACUUUAGCAUGCAUGCACAGCACUUACCUUGGGAUGCAACGCAGGUACAGCUGUAACUGUAGUUCCCAUAUCGAUCCCGAGCGCAUGCACAUUAUGUCCUGUUCCAUGACUUACACACCGCACCUUGCAAGUAAAAGCACGACAUGAUUAUGAUGACCACAACGGUUAGGUGGUUGAGCGGUUGAAGUGGUUGGUUCCUUUGACCAGUCACCUCACCAAGAGGGCUUCACAUCGUCAUAAUAUCCCUCUUUUACACUGCCGUACGCCGGUGCCUCACACCACAGUCACCCAAAUACACACACAGAAAACGGGCUCUCUCUCCUCCCGUCCCGCUGUUUGCCCAAACAUGGGCGCACCACCCCUUUUGAUGGUCAAUCCGGUUGACCCGGGGAAAAAACGACCAAGUUCCGAAACCCAAACACAAACACACAUAUGACGGCACUCUGCUCCCACUCCCCACUUCCGUCCCCCGGGUGAUCCUCACAUACACACACAUACACACACAUACACACACAUACACACACAUACACACACAUACACACACAUACACACACAUACACACACAUACACACACAUACACACACAUACACACACAUACACACACAUACACACACAUACACACAUACACACACAUACACACACAUACACACACAUACACACACAUACACACACAUACACACACAUACACACACAUACACACACAUACACACACAUACACACACAUACACACACAUACACACACAUACACACACAUACACACACAUACACACACAUACACACAUACACACACAUACACACAUACACACACAUACACACACAUACACACACAUACACACACAUACACACACAUACACACACAUACACACACAUACACACACACAUACACACACAUACACACACCAAGAAUCCCUCCCCCGCUCACGCGGGGCUAACCCCCGUCUUCCCCUUACUGCCCCU